UGGGGGAUAUUGCACAAUGGGCGAAAGCCUGAUGCAGCGACGCCGCGUGGGGGAUGAAGGCCUUCGGGUUGUAAACUUCUUUUGCUCUGAACAAGGCGCACCAUGGGGUGUGUUGAGUGUAGGGGUUGAUUAGCGCCGGCUAACUACGUGCCAGCAGCCGCGGUAAUACGUAGGGCGCGAGCGUUGUCCGGAAUUAUUGGGCGUAAAUGGCUUGUAGGUGGCUGGUUGCGUCUGUCGUGAAAGCUCAUGGCUUAACUGUGGGUUUGCGGUGGGUACGGGCUGGCUUGAGUGCAGUAGGGGAGGCUGGAAUUCCUGGUGUAGCGGUGGAAUGCGCAGAUAUCAGGAGGAAUACCGGUGGCGAAGGCGGGUCUCCGGGCUGUUACUGACACUGAGGAGCGAAAGCAUGGGGAGCGAACAGG
Molecule: ribosomal RNA, 419 nt
Filed under: bacterium
Lineage: Bacteria
Description: partial 16S ribosomal RNA
Rfam family: Bacterial small subunit ribosomal RNA
Source: RNAcentral